RNAcentral lists this ribosomal RNA (253 nucleotides) under uncultured bacterium. Its description in RNAcentral is "partial 16S ribosomal RNA". It matches the Rfam family "Bacterial small subunit ribosomal RNA", at positions 524 to 776 of the family's 1533-position model. The record is from RNAcentral.
UACGUAGGUGGCAAGCGUUGUCCGGAUUUACUGGGCGUAAAGAGCGCGUAGGCGGCCGGAUUAGUCGCGUGUGAAAGCCCCCGGCUCAACUGGGGAGGGUCACGCGAUACUGUUCGACUCGAAGGCAGGAGAGGGAAGUGGAAUUCCCGGUGUAGUGGUGAAAUGCGUAGAUAUCGGGAGGAACACCAGUGGCGAAGGCGACUUCCUGGCCUGUUCUUGACGCUGAGGCGCGAAAGCUAGGGUAGCAAACGGG